Molecule: unclassified non-coding RNA, 286 nt
Filed under: uncultured fungus
Lineage: Eukaryota; Fungi
Description: sequence contains ITS1
Source: RNAcentral
UUGUUUAUUUUUUGUUUUAGUUAAGACAAGACACGUUGUUGCGGUUUAAUUGAGGCCUUUGGCGGGCACACGCCGGGGGCCGAAGCCCCUGACGGUCCGGAGACGACCCGCCAAAGCAACUAGGAGUAGAUAGACAAGAGUGUUCAGACAGGCUGACUCCACCGGCGGCAUUAGCCGCGGAUGAAGACUGGCCCCCGAUUAUUAAUGAUCCUUCCGCAGGUUCACUAGAGAAUGAUUAGCAUGGGUAGGAUAUGGAGAUUGGAGGUCCAAGCUUACCCUACGGAAA